GGGCACUUGGUGUAGUUGGUUUAUCACGCCCGCUUAGCAUGCGGGAGGGGACCGGUUCAAUUCCGGUAGUGUCCA
RNAcentral lists this transfer RNA (75 nucleotides) under Gloeophyllum trabeum ATCC 11539. Its description in RNAcentral is "tRNA-Ala (AGC) (tRNA-Ala-AGC-2-1)". It matches the Rfam family "tRNA". From Rfam's summary of the family: Transfer RNA (tRNA) molecules are approximately 80 nucleotides in length. The record is from RNAcentral. Lineage: Eukaryota; Fungi; Basidiomycota; Agaricomycetes; Gloeophyllales; Gloeophyllaceae.